This 855-nucleotide ribosomal RNA is filed under the name Curvularia heteropogonis. Its description in RNAcentral is "LSU rRNA". It matches the Rfam family "Eukaryotic large subunit ribosomal RNA", at positions 67 to 941 of the family's 3401-position model. The record is from RNAcentral. Lineage: Eukaryota; Fungi; Ascomycota; Dothideomycetes; Pleosporales; Pleosporaceae.
AACAGGGAUUGCCCUAGUAACGGCGAGUGAAGCGGCAACAGCUCAAAUUUGAAAUCUGGCUCUUUUAGAGUCCGAGUUGUAAUUUGCAGAGGGCGCUUUGGCUUUGGCAGCGGUCCAAGUUCCUUGGAACAGGACGUCACAGAGGGUGAGAAUCCCGUACGUGGUCGCUAGCUAUUGCCGUGUAAAGCCCCUUCGACGAGUCGAGUUGUUUGGGAAUGCAGCUCUAAAUGGGAGGUAAAUUUCUUCUAAAGCUAAAUAUUGGCCAGAGACGAUAGCGCACAAGUAGAGUGAUCGAAAGAUGAAAAGCACUUUGGAAAGAGAGUCAAACAGCACGUGAAAUUGUUGAAAGGGAAGCGCUUGCAGCCAGACUUGCUUGCAGUUGCUCAUCCGGGCUUUUGCCCGGUGCACUCUUCUGCAGGCAGGCCAGCAUCAGUUUGGGCGGUGGGAUAAAGGUCUCUGACACGUUCCUUCCUUCGGGUUGGCCAUAUAGGGGAGACGUCAUACCACCAGCCUGGACUGAGGUCCGCGCAUCUGCUAGGAUGCUGGCGUAAUGGCUGUAAGCGGCCCGUCUUGAAACACGGACCAAGGAGUCUAACAUCUAUGCGAGUGUUUGGGUGUCAAGCCCGAGCGCGUAAUGAAAGUGAACGGAGGUGGGAACCCGCAAGGGCGCACCAUCGACCGAUCCUGAAGUUUACGGAAGGAUUUGAGUAAGAGCAUGGCUGUUGGGACCCGAAAGAUGGUGAACUAUGCUUGAAUAGGGUGAAGCCAGAGGAAACUCUGGUGGAGGCUCGCAGCGGUUCUGACGUGCAAAUCGAUCGUCAAAUUUGGGCAUAGGGGCGAAAGACUAAUCGAACU